GGAUCCGGGGGGUGGUCCUCGAGGUCCAGCUCCCCGAGCCCCCCUUGGAGUUUGAACCCUACGCCGCCUUGAGGGAGCUGCCAUGAAGUGCCCCUACUGCGGCCACCCCGACACCCGGGUGGUGGACUCGAGGCCCUCCGACGAGGCAUGGCCAUCCGCAGGCGGCGGGAGUGCCCCUCCUGCGGACGCCGCUUCACCACCUACGAGCGCACCCAGCUUGAGCCCCUCAUGGUGGUCAAGCGGGACGGGCGCAAGGAGCCCUUCAACCCCGACAAGCUCCUAAGGGGCCUCCUCCUCGCCUGCGAGAAGCGCCCCGUGAGCGAGGAGGUCCUGCGCCGCUUCGCCUACACCUUUGAGGACCAGGUCUCGGGCCCGGAGAUCACCUCGGAGGAGAUCGGGCUCAAGGCCCUGGCCUUCCUCAAGGAGCUGGACCACGUGGCCUACAUCCCGUUCGCCUCCGUCUACCGCGAGUUUGACUCGGUGGAGCGCUUCAUUGAGGAGAUCCGCUGCCCUCGCAAGCCUUGACAAAAAGGAGGGGGAUUGAUAGCAUGGCUUUUCUGCGCGGCGAAAGCCCAAGCAGGGGGAUCUUGAAAAGGGGAGAAGGCAGGCCAAGCAUCUGAGCUCUACGCCCGUUUAGGGCGUUGAUUUGUUGGAGAGUUUGAUCCUGGCUCAGGGUGAACGCUGGCGGCGUGCCUAAGACAUGCAAGUCGUGCGGGCCGCGGGGUUUUACUCCGUGGUCAGCGGCGGACGGGUGAGUAACGCGUGGGUGACCUACCCGGAAGAGGGGGACAACCCGGGGAAACUCGGGCUAAUCCCCCAUGUGGACCCGCCCCUUGGGGUGUGUCCAAAGGGCUUUGCCCGCUUCCGGAUGGGCCCGCGUCCCAUCAGCUAGUUGGUGGGGUAAUGGCCCACCAAGGCGACGACGGGUAGCCGGUCUGAGAGGAUGGCCGGCCACAGGGGCACUGAGACACGGGCCCCACUCCUACGGGAGGCAGCAGUUAGGAAUCUUCCGCAAUGGGCGCAAGCCUGACGGAGCGACGCCGCUUGGAGGAAGAAGCCCUUCGGGGUGUAAACUCCUGAACCCGGGACGAAACCCCCGACGAGGGGACUGACGGUACCGGGGUAAUAGCGCCGGCCAACUCCGUGCCAGCAGCCGCGGUAAUACGGAGGGCGCGAGCGUUACCCGGAUUCACUGGGCGUAAAGGGCGUGUAGGCGGCCUGGGGCGUCCCAUGUGAAAGACCACGGCUCAACCGUGGGGGAGCGUGGGAUACGCUCAGGCUAGACGGUGGGAGAGGGUGGUGGAAUUCCCGGAGUAGCGGUGAAAUGCGCAGAUACCGGGAGGAACGCCGAUGGCGAAGGCAGCCACCUGGUCCACCCGUGACGCUGAGGCGCGAAAGCGUGGGGAGCAAACCGGAUUAGAUACCCGGGUAGUCCACGCCCUAAACGAUGCGCGCUAGGUCUCUGGGUCUCCUGGGGGCCGAAGCUAACGCGUUAAGCGCGCCGCCUGGGGAGUACGGCCGCAAGGCUGAAACUCAAAGGAAUUGACGGGGGCCCGCACAAGCGGUGGAGCAUGUGGUUUAAUUCGAAGCAACGCGAAGAACCUUACCAGGCCUUGACAUGCUAGGGAACCCGGGUGAAAGCCUGGGGUGCCCCGCGAGGGGAGCCCUAGCACAGGUGCUGCAUGGCCGUCGUCAGCUCGUGCCGUGAGGUGUUGGGUUAAGUCCCGCAACGAGCGCAACCCCCGCCGUUAGUUGCCAGCGGUUCGGCCGGGCACUCUAACGGGACUGCCCGCGAAAGCGGGAGGAAGGAGGGGACGACGUCUGGUCAGCAUGGCCCUUACGGCCUGGGCGACACACGUGCUACAAUGCCCACUACAAAGCGAUGCCACCCGGCAACGGGGAGCUAAUCGCAAAAAGGUGGGCCCAGUUCGGAUUGGGGUCUGCAACCCGACCCCAUGAAGCCGGAAUCGCUAGUAAUCGCGGAUCAGCCAUGCCGCGGUGAAUACGUUCCCGGGCCUUGUACACACCGCCCGUCACGCCAUGGGAGCGGGCUCUACCCGAAGUCGCCGGGAGCCUACGGGCAGGCGCCGAGGGUAGGGCCCGUGACUGGGGCGAAGUCGUAACAAGGUAGCUGUACCGGAAGGUGCGGCUGGAUCACCUCCUUUCUAAGGAGCUAACAAAAGCCUGCCUUCUCCCCUUCUCGGGUCCUCGGGGCGCCCUUGGGCGCCCUUUUUUGUUGCCGUAAGGAGGGGGUUUGCGCAGGAAGCGAAAGGGGCAAAGGCCCACCCGGCGCGUGGUCUCCGCGGGGGGGGUGGUCCUCAAGGGGGAUCC
Molecule: ribosomal RNA, 2331 nt
Filed under: Thermus thermophilus HB8
Lineage: Bacteria; Thermotogati; Deinococcota; Deinococci; Thermales; Thermaceae
Description: 16S ribosomal RNA from Thermus thermophilus HB8 (PDB 6CZR, chain 2a)
Rfam family: Bacterial small subunit ribosomal RNA (bases 647-2165)
Source: RNAcentral